AUGCAGCAAGUGGCCAAUACAUCCAGCAACAACGCCAUAUCAAGAUGGGUCCAUCCCCCUGAAGGUAUAGCAAAAAUUCGAGUCGAUGGUGCUGUUUCAAGAUCUGCGAAGGAAGGAACCUAUAGUGCAAUAUGCAGGGACCAUGAUGGCAAAUAUUUGGUCUCAUCAGCCAUCAAAGUCUCGGGUAUCACGGACCCGGGGACUCUCGAGGCGUUAGCUUGUCGCGAGGCGCUUGCUCUAGCCCUGGAUCUUGGGCUGCCAAAUAUACUGGUUGGCUCAGAUUGCAAAGUUGUGGUGAACGACAUCAAGCUAGGCACGGGAGGUAUGUAUGAAAGCAUAGUGAAGGAAAUAAGAAAUACGUCCGAGCAAUUUCAGCAAUGCACCUUCAUCUUCGAAGGUCGUGGUACUAAUCUGGAGGCGCAUAGCCUUGCUAAGCACACCUUUGAUCUGGACUUAGGGCGCCAUUUGUGGCUUAUAAACCCUCCAAACUUGAAUUGUAUCCCUAUAAACAUUUUAGAGUAA
Molecule: ribosomal RNA, 522 nt
Filed under: Triticum aestivum (bread wheat)
Lineage: Eukaryota; Viridiplantae; Streptophyta; Magnoliopsida; Poales; Poaceae
Description: partial small subunit ribosomal RNA
Source: RNAcentral